CGGACUGAAGGCUCUUUCUCGAUUCCGUGGAAAGUGGUGCAUGGCCGUUUUUUGGUUGGUGGAUCGAUCCGUCUGGUUAAUUCCGUUAACGAACGAGACCUCGGCACUCCGAAUAGCGCGGCGGACGUCGCGGCCUCCGGGCCGUCUUCCGCACGAGCUUCUUAGAGGGACCGUCCCCCGCCGGGGAAGGAGGUGCGAGGCAACGACAGGUCUGUGAUGCCCUUAGAUGUUCUGGGCCGCACGCCAUUACACUGACGCGUCCAACGGGUGACUCCCGACCCGAAGGGGCCGGGGAAUCCGCAAGGCGCGUCGUGAUGGGGAUUGAACGUUGCAAUUGUUGUUCACGAACGAGGAAUUCCUAGUAGGCGCGGGUCAUCAACCCGCGCCGAUUACGUCCCUGCCCUUUGUACACACCG
This 416-nucleotide ribosomal RNA is filed under the name uncultured eukaryote. RNAcentral describes it as "bacterial SSU rRNA". It matches the Rfam family "Eukaryotic small subunit ribosomal RNA", at positions 1244 to 1671 of the family's 1831-position model. The record is from RNAcentral.